Molecule: long non-coding RNA, 200 nt
Filed under: Elaeis guineensis (African oil palm)
Lineage: Eukaryota; Viridiplantae; Streptophyta; Magnoliopsida; Arecales; Arecaceae
Description: long non-coding RNA (EGUI_LNC065380)
Source: RNAcentral
UUGCUUUGGUCUAUAGAUGGAUCUUUACAGCUUACAGAUCUUGUGAUCUCCAUUACUGGAUGUAAAAUUCAGAUGCUGCUCCAUAUAGAUAUCUUUCUCAAGAUAUCUAUUUAGAAAAGAAAUGUUGGAUGUAUGUCCUAGAAAUCAAUCUUGGCUGACACAUUUCAUAUCUCUAGAACAUGAUUUUAUAGUUAUUGGGU